UACGGAGGGUGCAAACGUUGCUCGGAAUCAUUGGGCGUAAAGAGCUCGUAGGCGGUUUGUCGCGUCGAAUGUGAAAACCCGGGGCUCAACCCCGGGCCUGCAUUCGAUACGGGCAUACUAGAGUUCGGUAGGGGAGUCUGGAAUUCCUGGUGUAGCGGUGAAAUGCGCAGAUAUCAGGAGGAACACCGGUGGCGAAGGCGGGACUCUGGGCCGAUACUGACGCUGAGGAGCGAAAGCGUGGGGAGCAAACAGG
RNAcentral lists this ribosomal RNA (253 nucleotides) under uncultured bacterium. RNAcentral describes it as "partial 16S ribosomal RNA". It matches the Rfam family "Bacterial small subunit ribosomal RNA", at positions 524 to 776 of the family's 1533-position model. The record is from RNAcentral.